RNAcentral lists this ribosomal RNA (406 nucleotides) under uncultured bacterium. Its description in RNAcentral is "partial 16S ribosomal RNA". It matches the Rfam family "Bacterial small subunit ribosomal RNA", at positions 29 to 526 of the family's 1533-position model. The record is from RNAcentral.
AUUGAACGCUGGCGGCAGGCCUAACACAUGCAAGUCGAGCGAGCGACGGACGGGUGAGUCAUGUCUGGGAAACUGCCUGAUGGAGAGGGAGAACUGCUGGAAACGGUAGCUAAUACCGCGUACCAUCGGAUGUGCCCCGAUGGGAUUAGCUAGUAGGUGGGGUAAAGGCCCAACUAGGGGACGAUCCCUAGCUGGUCUGAGAGGAUGACCAGACACACUGGAACUGAGACACGGUCCAGACUCCUACGGGAGGCAGCAGUGGGGAAUAUUGGACAAUGGGCGAAAGCCUGAUGCAGCCAUGCCGCGUGUAUGAAGAAGGCCUUCGGGUUGUAAAGUACGUUAAGCGGGGAGGCGUUACCAGCAGAAGAAGCACCGGCUAACUCCGUGCCAGCAGCCGCGGUAAUUC